AACCGAGAACUCCUACGGGAGGCAGCAGUGGGGAAUAUUGCACAAUGGGCGCAAGCCUGAUGCAGCGACGCCGCGUGAGGGAUGACGGCCUUCGGGUUGUAAACCUCUUUCAGUAGGGAAGAAGCGAAAGUGACGGUACCUGCAGAAGAAGCGCCGGCUAACUACGUGCCAGCAGCCGCGGUAAUACGUAGGGCGCAAGCGUUAUCCGGAAUUAUUGGGCGUAAAGAGCUCGUAGGCGGUUUGUCGCGUCUGCCGUGAAAGUCCGGGGCUCAACUCCGGAUCUGCGGUGGGUACGGGCAGACUAGAGUGAUGUAGGGGAGACUGGAAUUCCUGGUGUAGCGGUGAAAUGCGCAGAUAUCAGGAGGAACACCGAUGGCGAAGGCAGGUCUCUGGGCAUUAACUGACGCUGAGGAGCGAAAGCAUGGGGAGCGAACAGGAUUAGAAACCCCAGUAGUCCGACUGAGA
RNAcentral lists this ribosomal RNA (465 nucleotides) under uncultured bacterium. Its description in RNAcentral is "bacterial SSU rRNA". It matches the Rfam family "Bacterial small subunit ribosomal RNA", at positions 327 to 805 of the family's 1533-position model. The record is from RNAcentral.